RNAcentral lists this transfer RNA (64 nucleotides) under Mileewa ussurica. Its description in RNAcentral is "tRNA-Trp". RNAcentral also lists the same sequence under 1 other name. Lineage: Eukaryota; Metazoa; Arthropoda; Insecta; Hemiptera; Cicadellidae. The record is from RNAcentral.
AGGAUUUUAAGUUAUAUUUAAACUAAUAACCUUCAAAGUUAUAAUUACUUUAAGGUAAAUCUUA